Molecule: transfer RNA, 75 nt
Filed under: Schistocerca americana (American grasshopper)
Lineage: Eukaryota; Metazoa; Arthropoda; Insecta; Orthoptera; Acrididae
Description: tRNA-Ser
Rfam family: tRNA
About the family: Transfer RNA (tRNA) molecules are approximately 80 nucleotides in length. Their secondary structure includes four short double-helical elements and three loops (D, anti-codon, and T loops).
Source: RNAcentral
GCCUGGGUGGCCGAGCGGUUCUAGGCGCUACAGCCUGGAACGCUAUGGUCGCAGGUUCGAAUCCUGCCUCGGGCA